GCCUGUGCUGUCCUCCGUGCUUGCUUUGUACCGCAGCCUCUCAUUCCAGCCUUCUGAUUCUCUCACUAAUCCGGGAGCAAGGAGAUUGCAGCUGGGACUCCUUACACAGGGAAGGCGCAGGAAAGGAGGCUGAAACUCAGGUGGCUUUCUGCAUACAGGGAAGACCUGGGGAGGCUCCUUGGAGGAGAUGAUGCCGGCCCAAGUUGUGGAGGGUGACAGUGAAGAACAAGGAGAAGCCCCCGGCCAGAGUCACUCAUAUAAAGUUUUCAGACUUUCAGCAAGUUGCCAGAGCAAUUGAGCAAACACAACAGACCCUUCAGCCGGCUUCUCCUUCUCCUCACCCCACUGUGGUCCCACCCUCUACCCCCAGCCACACGGAGUCCUGUGCUAUACAAAGGUGCAAUUGAAAUACAUGACACACUUGGCAUCGUCUUCGGGCCACUUUAGGAAGCAGUUCUGACAGUCCUCUUUCCUGAGCAUCUUUAUAAGAUUUUUUAAAAAGCAACAUGGUGAAUGCUGCUCCUGUGUGACAUUAACAGAAACACAGGCUCACACGGAGACUGCAGGGCACCCGCCACCCGCCUUACCCGCAGAUCUGACACCCUGCCACUGCUACCUCUUCGUCAAGGUCAAAAUGACCACAACAGGUGAGCGUUUCGAAUCAAUUCAGGACAAGGAUGCACGACUAUGCAACUAAAAACAGUCACAAAGAAGACUUCCAGAUCUGCUUCAGAAGGUGCCAAGAGCGUGGGAGAAGUGCGUGUCUGAAGCUGGAGGAAAUAUUCUGAGGGGCACUAAUGAUAAUGAGUCUUUCGCUGUAAUAAACUGUUUUAAAUUUAAA
Molecule: long non-coding RNA, 841 nt
Organism: Cavia porcellus (domestic guinea pig)
Lineage: Eukaryota; Metazoa; Chordata; Mammalia; Rodentia; Caviidae
Exons: 3
Source: RefSeq, a predicted model, not a curated record